CCUCAUCUGUGCUGCAGUCGAUAGGUAGGUGACUGACUGUUUUGUGCGGUGCUGAGUUUUGGGCAGGUAAAGUUCUUUUACGCGAUCCAGCUACGGCCUGAACGUCUUUCUUUUCGCCGCUUUUCUCAGAUCACAACUCAAUCAGAACCUGUCUCCUGGCAAUUCCUCCAAAUCUCUGUGCAGUUUCACCAUCACUGACCACGCCUGUUCCUCGGUAAGACUAUUUUAUGUGAGCUGCGAAUCCUAGAAAAAGAUUUGGCUUUUGCCACAUUGUCAUCCUGAGACAAAUCUCCAUAGGCUGCGAAUGUCUUUGCUUAAUUUCUUAUCUUAUAUUUUCCCAGGCUACACAUCUCACAUCCACCAACUUGGCCUCGCUGCUCAAAUGCUCUGUGGAAAACCAAACGUCAUACCCGGUCGUGGUCUGGAAACUUUUCUUUGAAAAAGCUUCUCCUAUGCUAGAUCAGGCUCUGGAGACAUUCGCCACCAUGGUAAAUCCAGUCCCACAAUUUCACAAAGUGACUGUGACUCCCGGUGUAAAUUCUGCAUCAAGCUAAAUCAUUUCUCCAAUUAUAGGCCCCCAACACCAGCAAUCCAUCCUUAUCACAUGCUCUUGAGGCUAUUGGAGAGGUGAUAAUUGCCAACUUCAGCCAAGCACAACUGCAGAGUGAUGGCUUUGUCCGCAGGUGGUUCCACACAAAGAUUCGCCCAUUUUUGGCCUAUCCAUCGCCCAACUUCCUAUUCUGCCUUAGCACCAACAACUUCAGCUGCCUCACGUACCAGACUGUGUAAGCGAAUAUUUGAUAUAUUUCUCCACUGUAAGCACCAUUUCAGAGGAACCUGCAGUGUUCUGGUUGUUUUGAUGUUGAAACCUCUCCUCUCAAAUUUUAGCAUCAAGGCAUUCAGCGGCCAAACGGCAUCCAUGGAGAGAGAAAGCCAGCAAGCAGUCCUCACUCACUUCAUCAAACCAUUCCUUUCAAAAAAUGACUCAUCAGAUCCUGGCUGUGUCUCAUUUAGCGGAGGUAGCAUAGAGUGGCUACAGGCGAACCUUGGCAACUUCUCUGGUUUUGCAACCUUGCAGGAUUUGCAAGCCCUCAAUUCCAACUUCUCUAGUGUACGUGCCGACUGCGAUUGUACUUUUCUUCUCUCACACUGAAAUGUCUGGCCUAUGGUUUUGCAGUUGUUUGAUUUCCUAUCAAUUGCCUUUUGUAGGCUGAUUCGUUGUCAGCGCUCACUCCUGCUCAGCUGGCACAGUUGACACUGAGCUUGGCAGCCUCCAAUGACACAGACCAAAUCGACAUUGUGUUGGAGCGACUUGAGGAGGGCAAUGCUCUGGAAAAUGUAGAUGACUUCCUGACACAGCUGGCAGCAAAUGGAGA
Molecule: long non-coding RNA, 1376 nt
Organism: Sparus aurata (gilthead seabream)
Lineage: Eukaryota; Metazoa; Chordata; Actinopteri; Spariformes; Sparidae
Source: Ensembl